CACGUAGGGCGCAAGCGUUGUCCGGAAUUAUUGGGCGUAAAGGGCUCGUAGGCGGUUUGUCGCGUCGGGAGUGAAAACCAUGGGCUUAACUCAUGGCUUGCUUCCGAUACGGGCAGACUAGAGGCAUGCAGGGGAGAACGGAAUUCCUGGUGUAGCGGUGAAAUGCGCAGAUAUCAGGAGGAACACCGGUGGCGAAGGCGGUCUCUGGGCAUGUCCUGACGCUGAGGAGCGAAAGUGUGGGGAGCGAACAGG
Molecule: ribosomal RNA, 252 nt
Filed under: uncultured bacterium
Lineage: Bacteria
Description: partial 16S ribosomal RNA
Rfam family: Bacterial small subunit ribosomal RNA
Source: RNAcentral